CAGAAGCCACAGGUAGCGAAGUUCAGAGACAGAAAACAUCUCUAAUUGUAUUGAUACUUGUUGAGAAGGUGAUGGUCAAGAUAGUAAAUCAGAAAAAAAAAGAGUAAAUAGACACUACGGAAAGGCCUAAAUUCUUCCAUCAAAUGCUAGGAGUCAACUACAACCGAAACCGGAGAGUAGCCUUUCUCAUUUUGGUCUGGUCACACUCCAGAGGCUCAAUAGCCCCACGUGGCUGUAAGAUAAUUUCAGCCAGGUCUGAGGCCAAGCUGUUCAGACAAGAUUCAGGGCUUCGAGUUCAGACAGCUUCAAGUAGGCCCGAUGACAGGGAAGGCAUCGCUGAUGAUAACCAGACCCUUGACCCAGUUUCUCAGGGAAAAGGCAGAUCUGAGGAGAGUGACAUAGGGCCCUGGACACAUGAAGCCUCCCUAAUCCCAG
RNAcentral lists this long non-coding RNA (435 nucleotides) under Heterocephalus glaber (naked mole-rat). Its description in RNAcentral is "lncRNA (ENSHGLG00100034446.1)". The record is from RNAcentral. Lineage: Eukaryota; Metazoa; Chordata; Mammalia; Rodentia; Bathyergidae.